UCCCUGAUAGCUCAGUUGGUAAAGAAUCCGCCUGCAAUGCAGGAGACCCAGAUUCAAUUCCUGGGUUGGGAA
Molecule: transfer RNA, 72 nt
Filed under: Bos taurus (domestic cattle)
Lineage: Eukaryota; Metazoa; Chordata; Mammalia; Artiodactyla; Bovidae
Also listed under: 2 other names
Rfam family: tRNA
About the family: Transfer RNA (tRNA) molecules are approximately 80 nucleotides in length. Their secondary structure includes four short double-helical elements and three loops (D, anti-codon, and T loops). Further hydrogen bonds mediate the characteristic L-shaped molecular structure. tRNAs have two regions of fundamental functional importance: the anti-codon, which is responsible for specific mRNA codon recognition, and the 3' end, to which the tRNAs corresponding amino acid is attached (by aminoacyl-tRNA synthetases). tRNAs cope with the degeneracy of the genetic code in two manners: having more than one tRNA (with a specific anti-codon) for a particular amino acid; and 'wobble' base-pairing, i.e. permitting non-standard base-pairing at the 3rd anti-codon position.
Source: Rfam by way of RNAcentral